AUUGAACGCUGGCGGCAGGCCUAACACAUGCAAGUCGAGCGGAUGAAGGGAGCUUGCUCCUGGAUUCAGCGGCGGACGGGUGAGUAAUGCCUAGGAAUCUGCCUAGUAGUGGGGGAUAACGUCCGGAAACGGGCGCUAAUACCGCAUACGUCCUGAGGGAGAAAGUGGGGGAUCUUCAGACCUCACGCUAUCAGAUGAGCCUAGGUCGGAUUAGCUAGUUGGUGGGGUAAAGGCCUACCAAGGCGACGAUCCGUAACUGGUCUGAGAGGAUGAUCAGUCACACUGGAACUGAGACACGGUCCAGACUCCUACGGGAGGCAGCAGUGGGGAAUAUUGGACAAUGGGCGAAAGCCUGAUCCAGCCAUGCCGCGUGUGUGAAGAAGGUCUUCGGAUUGUAAAGCACUUUAAGUUGGGAGGAAGGGCAGUAAGUUAAUACCUUGCUGUUUUGACGUUACCAACAGAAUAAGCACCGGCUAACUUCGUG
RNAcentral lists this ribosomal RNA (484 nucleotides) under uncultured bacterium. Its description in RNAcentral is "partial 16S ribosomal RNA". It matches the Rfam family "Bacterial small subunit ribosomal RNA", at positions 30 to 507 of the family's 1533-position model. The record is from RNAcentral.